RNAcentral lists this ribosomal RNA (324 nucleotides) under uncultured eukaryote. RNAcentral describes it as "partial 18S ribosomal RNA". It matches the Rfam family "Eukaryotic small subunit ribosomal RNA", at positions 1470 to 1796 of the family's 1831-position model. The record is from RNAcentral.
CCCUUAGAUGUCCUGGGCUGCACGCGCGCUACACUGAUGAGUCCAGUAAGCACCUAACCUCUUCCGAAAGGAACGGGUAACCUUUGCAAAGCACAUCGUGAUGGGGAUAGAUUAUUGCAAUUAUUAGUCUUGAACGAGGAAUUCCUAGUAAGCACAAGUCAUCAGCUUGUGUUGAUUACGUCCCUGCCCUUUGUACACACCGCCCGUCGCUCCUACCGAUUGAAUGUUCCGGUGAGCUCUUCGGACUGCGCGGUCUGCAGUUUCUGCGUUCCGUGCGGAAAGUUGCGCAAACCUUAACAUUUAGAGGAAGGAGAAGUCGUAACA